GACUUGAUAUGAUCCAAAGCAUACUAGACACUCACCUUUAGAGAAAUUUCGGCCACCCUCUAUUCAUACAGGCUUCAGACUCGAUUUUCUUCUAAAAUACAAUGGAUCUGAUUUAUUAUAAGCACCGUGACUCUGGUAAAUUUUUGGUGAACUCACAGUUGGUCAGAAGUAGUCUAAAUAAGAAGAGAAAAAAGAAGAUAAAGA
This 204-nucleotide long non-coding RNA is filed under the name Elaeis guineensis (African oil palm). Its description in RNAcentral is "long non-coding RNA (EGUI_LNC005470)". Lineage: Eukaryota; Viridiplantae; Streptophyta; Magnoliopsida; Arecales; Arecaceae. The record is from RNAcentral.